This 263-nucleotide signal recognition particle RNA is filed under the name Lachnospiraceae bacterium. RNAcentral describes it as "signal recognition particle sRNA large type". It matches the Rfam family "Bacterial large signal recognition particle RNA". From Rfam's summary of the family: The signal recognition particle (SRP) is a universally conserved ribonucleoprotein involved in the co-translational targeting of proteins to membranes. Archaeal SRP consists of a 7S RNA and homologues of the eukaryotic SRP19 and SRP54 proteins. The record is from RNAcentral. Lineage: Bacteria; Bacillati; Bacillota; Clostridia; Lachnospirales; Lachnospiraceae.
UCCUGCAGCCGGGGAAGCAGCGGCUCUCUGUACCUGAAAUCCGCUAUAGCAGGGGUGAUGGCCUGCCGAGGCUGCCGAUUUUCAUAGCUGCCCUGCGAAAGUGGCGUUGAUAUUUGGGUCUUACGCAAUAGGACUCCGUGAACCGUGUCAGGUCAGGAAUGAAGCAGCACUAAGCAGAUGCUCCUAUGUGCCGUAAGGGUGCCUGGAUUGAGUUAACUGCGCAGGUAACGUAUGCGGAGGAGCGGUCGACGCAGGGCGCAGGA